This 252-nucleotide ribosomal RNA is filed under the name uncultured bacterium. Its description in RNAcentral is "partial 16S ribosomal RNA". It matches the Rfam family "Bacterial small subunit ribosomal RNA", at positions 524 to 776 of the family's 1533-position model. The record is from RNAcentral.
UACAGAGGGUGCGAGCGUUGUCCGGAAUACUGGGCGUAAAGCGUGCGCAGGCGGUUAUGUAAGACAGAUGUGAAAUGCCCGGGCUUAACCUGGGAACUGCAUUUGUGACUGCAUGGCUAGAGUGUGUCAGAGGGGGUAGAAUUCCACGUGUAGCAGUGAAAUGCGUAGAGAUGUGGAGGAAUACCGAUGGCGAAGGCAGCCCCCUGGGAUAACACUGACGCUCAUGCACGAAAGCGUGGGGGAGCAAACAGG